Molecule: ribosomal RNA, 328 nt
Filed under: uncultured eukaryote
Lineage: Eukaryota
Description: partial 18S ribosomal RNA
Rfam family: Eukaryotic small subunit ribosomal RNA
Source: RNAcentral
CCCUUAGAUGUCCUGGGCCGCACGCGCGUUACACUGAUGCAUUCAACGAGCUUAUAACCUUGGCCGAGAGGCCUGGGCAAUCUUGUUAACGUGCAUCGUGAUAGGGAUAGAUUAUUGAAAUUAUUAGUCUUGAACGAGGAAUUCCUAGUAAACGCAGAUCAUCAAUCUGCAUUGAUUACGUCCCUGCCCUUUGUACACACCGCCCGUCGCACCUACCGAUUGGAUGGUCCGGUGAAGCCUCGGGAUUGUGGUUCUUGCCGCUUUAUUGUGGCGUGACCGCGAGAACUUGUCUAAACCUUAUCAUCUAGAGGAAGGUGAAGUCGUAACA